This 177-nucleotide unclassified non-coding RNA is filed under the name plant metagenome. RNAcentral describes it as "partial contains small subunit ribosomal RNA, internal transcribed spacer 1, and 5.8S ribosomal RNA". The record is from RNAcentral.
UUUCCGUAGGUGAACCUGCGGAAGGAUCAUUAACAGUCUGGUCUGGUGCGCGGGGAUCGCUCUCCGACGCUUGUGCUGCGCGCCCCGUGUGCGUAGGUCAUCAAUCAUACACAUUGGAAUUGCGACUGAUGCUUGCAAGAACACGAACAACUUUUAACAAUGGAUCUCUAGGCUCUU